This 377-nucleotide ribosomal RNA is filed under the name uncultured bacterium. RNAcentral's name for it is "bacterial SSU rRNA". It matches the Rfam family "Bacterial small subunit ribosomal RNA", at positions 521 to 896 of the family's 1533-position model. The record is from RNAcentral.
UAAUACGGAGGGUGCGAGCGUUGUUCGGAAUUAUUGGGCGUAAAGCGCGUGCAGGCGGCCAUUUAAGUCUGAUGUGAAAGCCCCGGGCUCAACCCGGGAAGUGCAUUGGAAACUGGCUGGCUUGAGUACGGGAGAGGGUAGUGGAAUUCCGAGUGUAGGGGUGAAAUCCGUAGAUAUUCGGAGGAACACCGGUGGCGAAGGCGGCUACCUGGACCGAUACUGACGCUGAGACGCGAAAGCGUGGGGAGCAAACAGGAUUAGAUACCCUGGUAGUCCACGCCGUAAACGAUGGGUACUAGGUGUCGCGGGUAUUGACCCCUGCGGUGCCGAAGCUAACGCAUUAAGUACCCCGCCUGGGGAGUACGGCCGCAAGGCUA